UACGAAAGGUCCAAGCGUUACUCGGAAUUACUGGGCGUAAAGCGCGCGUAGGCGGCCUUGUAUGUCGAUUGUGAAAGCCCCGGGCUCAACCUGGGAACUGCAGUCGAAACUGCAAGGCUUGAAUGUUGGAGAGGUUGGGGGAAUACCUAGUGGAGAAGUGAAAUUCGUAGAGAUUAGGUGGAACACCAGAGGCGAAGGCGCCUGACUGGCCAAACAUUGACGCUGAGGCGCGAAAGCCAGGGGAGCAAACGGG
This 253-nucleotide ribosomal RNA is filed under the name uncultured bacterium. RNAcentral describes it as "partial 16S ribosomal RNA". It matches the Rfam family "Bacterial small subunit ribosomal RNA", at positions 524 to 776 of the family's 1533-position model. The record is from RNAcentral.